UACGUAGGGUGCGAGCGUUAAUCGGAAUUACUGGGCGUAAAGCGUGCGCAGGCGGUUCGCUAAGACCGAUGUGAAAUCCCCGGGCUUAACCUGGGAACUGCAUUGGUGACUGGCGGGCUCGAGUAUGGCAGAGGGGGGUAGAAUUCCACGUGUAGCAGUGAAAUGCGUAGAGAUGUGGAGGAAUACCGAUGGCGAAGGCAGCCCCCUGGGCCAAUACUGACGCUCAUGCACGAAAGCGUGGGGAGCAAACAGG
Molecule: ribosomal RNA, 253 nt
Filed under: uncultured bacterium
Lineage: Bacteria
Description: partial 16S ribosomal RNA
Rfam family: Bacterial small subunit ribosomal RNA
Source: RNAcentral